UCACUGACCUGAGUCAGAAUGGCACAGGGCAUUAUGAUUCUGUCCUUCCUUGGUGAGCACUUGGCCAACUGGUCACCUGGGCUAAGAGGAAAGAACAAGCAUGGAACAGUACUGAGGAUAGUUCUGUCCCAUUUCUCCUGGUGUCCUAAAACCUUACAAGAAAUGGAUUCAGGUGCUCAGAUGAAUACACAGUUACAGCAAAUAUACAAAACCUGGGAAGAUGCCUCCUGUGACACCUCUCAGGGGACCAGGGGUUUGUCUUGUGUCUGUGGUGACCCUCACAACAGCCUUGGACCCAUUAAAGCAUUUGGUGCUGAUUUAUAUUUUCUAAGUGCUGUUCCCUGGGGGUAGUUCAUCUGUGGGCACCAUUUCAUCUGAACAGGAAGCUCCACCUGAACAUUACCUCUGUAGUAACCAGAGCUCAAUCUCACUACCAGCAUGGUUGGCCUACUUGGAAAUAAGGAGGAAUCAUAAGUCCUGGCCUUACUCAGAUGUCUGACACUUUUUAGGAUUGUGGGUCUCCAAGUUUCCCAUCUCAUUAUUUUGAGCAGAGACAUCCAAGGGAAGGAAGAAUUUGCCUUACUGCAAACAGCUGAUGAGAGCCCCUGCACAGCACCUUCUCAGAGGGAUCUGCUCUACUCCUUGUCCUGCCUUGUUCUGACACAGGCACGGCCUCAAAUGUUCCUGAAGCCUGAGGAGACCAUGAUGUAAUUGGUUCUCUGAAUGGUGCUGCUUUGUUUGCAUUUAAUAGGCUCAUCUGCACCACUGAGGGGGUCUUAUGGCCCCAAAUCUGCCCUGAGGGGAUCUUGUGGCUCCAAAUCUGGCCUGCCUUUCCCAGAGGCACAGAGCAAGUCAGGCAGAUGCUAAGCAGGAUGGAGGGUGGUUCAUGCUUAGGUCCCAAGGCAUUAAUCCCCCCAUAUCCAAAUCCAGAGAACCAGGCUGGCUCUUCCAGCUGCAUGCUGGACACAGAUCCACCAAGGAAACUCUGAGGCUGCUUGGGAGGGCUGCAGGGAGGCUGGGACAGGUGAUGUGCACAGCUUGGUGUGUCCUACACUGCUCUGCCAUCAGGCCACGGCCAAACCCAGAUCUUCCUGGUGUAAUCAGUGCCCAAAAUUCACAUCCAUCCAUCUCUCCUUGUAGCUGUGCUUCCCCAUAUCUUUAAGUAACCCUGCCUGGAUUUUACUGCUGACCUAGCAGAGAUGAAUAUCCACCUCAAGCGUUUCUGGAAAGGUUCCCCCUCCUGCUCCUGCAAGCUCGGGGUCAGUCCUGUGGUCAGUCCAACACAGCAUUAGCUGGGCACUUCACUGGGAGAAGCUGCAAAAGAUUUGGGCCUCCAGGGCUGCCACUGAGACAGCUUAAAGCUGAGUUGUGUGACAGUGAGAAAGAAUAGAUAGGGUGAUAGAAAAACUCUGCCAUGGCUUCAGACAAUAAAGACUGUGUCUCCCUUGUGAUGAAU
Long non-coding RNA from Passer domesticus (house sparrow), 1456 nucleotides. RefSeq lists it as uncharacterized. Lineage: Eukaryota; Metazoa; Chordata; Aves; Passeriformes; Passeridae. The transcript has 3 exons. The record is from RefSeq and is a predicted model, not a curated record.